CAGUCGCCACGGGAAUACGAAGGGUGCAAGCGUUAAUCGGAAUUACUGGGCGUAAAGCGUGCGUAGGCGGUUUGUUAAGUCUGUUGUGAAAUCCCCGGGCUCAACCUGGGAAUGGCAAUGGAUACUGGCAAGCUAGAGUGUGUCAGAGGAUGGUGGAAUUCCCGGUGUAGCGGUGAAAUGCGUAGAGAUCGGGAGGAAUAUCAGUGGCGAAGGCGGCCAUCUGGGACAACACUGACGCUGAGGCACGAAAGCGUGGGGAGCAAACAGGAUUAGAUACCCCAGUAGUCCCUGUCUCUUAUAC
RNAcentral lists this ribosomal RNA (301 nucleotides) under uncultured bacterium. Its description in RNAcentral is "partial 16S ribosomal RNA". It matches the Rfam family "Bacterial small subunit ribosomal RNA", at positions 509 to 807 of the family's 1533-position model. The record is from RNAcentral.